GACGAACGCUGGCGGCGCGCUUAACACAUGCAAGUCGAGCGAGAACCAGGACUUCGGUCCUGGGGACAGCGGCGAACGGGUGAGUAACACGUGGAUAACCUGCCCUCGGCACCGGGAUAGCCCGAGGAAACUCGGAUUAAUACCGGAUAGCCCUUCCGACUCUCGAGUCGGUCCGAAAAGGUAGCUUCGGCCUCUGGCCGAGGAUGGGUCCGCGGCGGAUUAGCUUGUUGGUGGGGUAACGGCCUACCAAGGCANCGAUCCGUAGCUGGUCUGAGAGGACGAUCAGCCACACUGGGACUGAGACACGGCCCAGACUCCUACGGGAGGCAGCAGUGGGGAAUCUUGCGCAAUGGGCGAAAGCCUGACGCAGCGACGCCGCGUGAGGGAAGAAGGCCUGGUGUAAC
RNAcentral lists this ribosomal RNA (404 nucleotides) under uncultured bacterium. Its description in RNAcentral is "bacterial SSU rRNA". It matches the Rfam family "Bacterial small subunit ribosomal RNA", at positions 28 to 429 of the family's 1533-position model. The record is from RNAcentral.